UCCAUGCAGAUGGAGUUUGCUGCCUCGCUUCUUUCCUCCCGUGUGUCAGAACCUCAGAUUCAGUUGAACGUUGGGUGUGCUUUGGGUUUUGCUGAGCAUUUGAGGGAUGGUCUUCACGAUGUCUCCAGGUAGCACUUCAGACCCUUUGCAUCGAUGUACCUGAUAGACUGGAAUGCUCUGCGUGCAGAGGGAAGGCUUGGGGCAGGUGGUGGUUCUCAGCAGUGCGUGGUUUGCUCGUCAGGCAGCUGUGGUGAUGGAGAAAGGCCCAUAGGGGACAACUGGAGGGGCUCCUUGGCUGGUGGGCAGCGUGGGGUCCCCCUGCGUGGCAGGAUCCAGCCCUGACCGCAUGGAGAUGCUCUGCAAUGAGCAGAUGCCUUUCCUCACUGCUCUAUGAACCAAGGGGGAAAAGAAAGAACGUGGGAACCUUUAGGCACUCCCAUCACUAACGGGGCUGAACGAGUCGAACAAACGAGGGCUUUAUUUAUUGUGAGGUUUUUAGUUGUAGCCUUUUUCGCUGGCUUCGCUGGCAGCCAUGGGGCCAUGGCUGGAGGUGCUGAGCUCUGAUGGGCCGUGCUGAGCUUUGGGUCUGAGCUCACACAUCACCUUCUGAGAACCCUCCCUCCGGAUCCGCUCCCGCUCGUCUCUCCAUUUCCUGGUACUUGAAACCAAUACUUGACCACAGCGGUGCUGGGCAGGGCUCAGUUCUUGGGGUCUUUGGGUGCACCCGGAGAUACCAACGCAGCAACUCAAGGCCUGAACAAUGAUUUCUUUUUUCCUUUUUGUGCUUCCUAUGACAUGGUCGGAGACGAAGGCGUCGUUCCUUGAUGAUGGGCCAAAAAGAGGCGAGGGCAGCUCCCUGCUGUGCUGAUACUUGAGAUACCACGCUUGGUACAGGGUAAACACCGAGCGGUUUGCAAUGGAAACGAGAGGAGGAUCCUUCACUUAAAGGCACUGUAGUAACUUUAUGCUUGAAGCGGACUUCACCCUUCCUUUCUCUUCAGGCACAGCCCUGUGGUUGAAUAAAUGAAGUCCGAUGGACUUGGACUCGUGUGCGCGUGCCAAACUGCUGGAGCAAUACUUGGAGCAGCAGGUUCUGUACCAGCCCAGCUCUAUGUAGCCAAAACAGGGCCAACGCUGAAACCACCUGCGAUGCACAUUGAACAGCAGCCACGUUACGGUUCGACUGUACUGGAGUAGAAAAUCUGACUGCAAAGUCUGGAAACUGCAUUCUGUUGGCCCAAAGCCCCAGUCCUGCAAUGGGCUCUGCGUUGGGCUUUUGGGUUUUGUUUGGUGGGAUGGGGUGUUCUUGCUUCAACAGUUUCCAUUGUUUCAUGUCUUCUACACCAAUAUAUAUAUGGUGUAUAUAUUAAACCGUGUAAAGUUGUACUUUGUAUAUAUAACUGUACAAUAUGGAGGUACAUCCUUUUUUUUUUUCCCCCCCCUUUGGUACAGUAUUGUACAGUAUUUAGGAGUAUAUGUGUUGGAGAUGUUAAAUCCGUACUGGGGCUACGAACUGUAUUCAUUGUCAUUAGCAAUAGUUUUGGAGAAAUAAAUGUUUUGGGUAUGGUGGAAAUG
Molecule: long non-coding RNA, 1575 nt
Organism: Gallus gallus (chicken)
Lineage: Eukaryota; Metazoa; Chordata; Aves; Galliformes; Phasianidae
Source: Ensembl